AAAAUAAAGUAUGCAAGGAGAUAAUAGAAUAUAAGGCAAAUAUUAUUGCUUCAUAAAAGAGAUACAAGAAGGAGCAGAACUUUAAAAUACGAAUCUAUUACAAGACUUCAUCAUUUUCUCCUAAGGUAAGAGGUUCUAGCUCUCCAUGAAUUCUACUGUCAUCUUGGUCUCUUUUGAACAUCAGAUUUUUACCCCUGCUU
This 200-nucleotide long non-coding RNA is filed under the name Elaeis guineensis (African oil palm). Its description in RNAcentral is "long non-coding RNA (EGUI_LNC074532)". The record is from RNAcentral. Lineage: Eukaryota; Viridiplantae; Streptophyta; Magnoliopsida; Arecales; Arecaceae.